Molecule: ribosomal RNA, 373 nt
Filed under: uncultured bacterium
Lineage: Bacteria
Description: bacterial SSU rRNA
Rfam family: Bacterial small subunit ribosomal RNA
Source: RNAcentral
ACAGAGGUCCCGAGCGUUGUUCGGAUUCACUGGGCGUAAAGGGUGCGCAGGUGGCCGGGUAAGUCUGAUGUGAAAUCUCGGAGCUUAACUCCGAAACGGCAUUGGAUACUAUCCGGCUGGAGGGUCGGAGGGGGGACUGGAAUUCUCGGUGUAGCAGUGAAAUGCGUAGAUAUCGAGAGGAACACCAGUGGCGAAGGCGAGUCCCUGGACGACUCCUGACACUGAGGCACGAAAGCUAGGGGAGCAAACAGGAUUAGAUACCCUGGUAGUCCUAGCCGUAAACGGUGCGUAUUUGCUGUAAAAGGAAUCGACCCCUUUUGUGGCGUAGCUAACGCGUUAAAUACGCCGCCUGGGAAGUACGGUCGCAAGAUUA